RNAcentral lists this ribosomal RNA (374 nucleotides) under uncultured organism. RNAcentral describes it as "bacterial SSU rRNA". It matches the Rfam family "Bacterial small subunit ribosomal RNA", at positions 526 to 896 of the family's 1533-position model. The record is from RNAcentral.
CGGGGGGGGCGAAGCGUUGUUCGGAAUUACUGGGCGUAAAGGGCUCGUAGGCGGCCAACUAAGUCGGAUGUGAAAUCCCCACGGCUCAACUUGGGAACUGCAUCCGAUACUGGAUGGCUUGAAUCCGGGAGAGGGAUGCAGAAUUCCAGGUGUAGCGGUGAAAUGCGUAGAUAUCUGGAGGAAUACCGGUGGCGAAGGCGGCAUCCUGGACCGGCAUUGACGCUGAUGAGCGAAAGCUAGGGGAGCAAACGGGAUUAGAUACCCCGGUAGUCCUAGCCCUAAACGAUGAAUGCUUGGUGUGGCGGGUAUCGAUCCCUGCCGUGCCGAAGCUAACGCAUUAAGCAUUCCGCCUGGGGAGUACGGUCGCAAGGCUG